Molecule: long non-coding RNA, 14213 nt
Organism: Gallus gallus (chicken)
Lineage: Eukaryota; Metazoa; Chordata; Aves; Galliformes; Phasianidae
Exons: 3
Source: RefSeq, a predicted model, not a curated record
CUUUUCUAACAAAAAUGAUUGCUGAGGAUAUGGUAUUGAUUUGAUAGUUUUGCAGCUGAAAAUGUUUGCUAAUUGGAGAACCAAUUCCAUAUUUGUAUUCCUAGCACAGAAGCAAGAGGCUUCUGAAUUAAGCAUCAAGAGCAAAUGUUUGCUGAAGGAAAAAAAGAAAUCCAAUAAAAAUCCAGGACGUGAUACUGGAUGAAACAGCAAUCUGUCGGCCUUGUUCUGGGCAUUCUAAAACCGCCGUACAAAUGGACAGGUAGAAACUGUCACAGAAAUGAAUAAAAAAUUACUGUUAAUGAAUGCUAGUAGGCAGUUAUGGCUGAGCAAGCUAAUAACAUUUUUCAACUGUGUUUUUCAUCAAAAUAUUCCAUGUGGUUUUAACUAUUGUUCCAGUGGUUAACAAUGAGGUGCAGAACAUUCUGAUGUGUUGCCUUUAUUUUCACAGAAUCGUCUCUCUUUUGGCAGACCAUCGUGAAAGAAGGAACCAAGUAAACAGGAAGAGUAGGCAUUUUACAUAUUUCCCUUUUUAGUUCUUGAAAACCUUAAAAAUUCCAACAAAAUAUCUAAGGAAUGUGAGAGAAAAUCAGUGCCUUUUUAAUUUUCCUGUGGAUAGUUUUAUUAUUUAAUCAGGCUGCACUAACCUUGUGUUAAUACCUUAUACAGAAAUGACAAAUCACAGCUCUUUUUUAUUUCGCAUGUCAUUCAAAUAGCAGAAAGUGUUUGGUGAUCUAUAGGAGCUGAAUACUUGCAAGCUGCAAGUAACUUCUGACAGACUGACACCAGUCACUUCCUUGCAUCUGUUUCCCUCUAUGAUUUUUUUUUUUUUUUUUAAUAAAUUUUCCUCUCCCAGCUCAGAUAUUCUCAUUUCUGAAGAGGUGCCAGCCACUAUCUCAGGUAAUUCCAAUAAGUAUGUGUCUAGAAGUACGAGAAAGAAAAAGAUCUUUAAUAAAUCCCCCAGCAACAAUAUGCUGCCAGCCCGUCAUUUUUACCCCCCAAAAAAUCUGUGGAGCUGUGGGAUGAUUGCUAGAAAGAUAACAUAAAAUAAAGAAGUAUGAAAAAAGAGCACUUGUUUCCUCCAAUGUGUGUGCCCUGUGCCAUUUUAUAUCCCUUUCAUGUCCUUCCCUUCAUCCCUACUGUCUCAUUCCUUUUAUUAAUUGCUCUGCUUUUUUUCCUUCUGCCUUUUCCUGCCUUUCUUUUUCUGCAGAAGUAAAACUUCUACUCUACUAAUUCAUUUUUGCUCAAUCAUUUUUCUUUUCUUCAUUGUCUCUUGACCAUAUAAGUCUCCUUUCCUCUACCCCAGAGAUAGUUUCUCAUUUCUCUUACUUCACUUCUUGUGAUAUGUGUGCCCUUCCUUCUGUAUCUAAUUCUUUCUAUGUCACAUACAUUCUGUCUUACUGACCCCCCUCUGCUCUUUCUUUUCAUGCUCUGCUCUUUCUUUUAAUGUCCUGAUUGACUUCUUUCCUACAGCUUCUACAUAACUCGUCCUGAUUUCAUUCUCUAUGUCUACCACAGUGCACAGCUGGCACAUCCAGCUGUAUCCCUCCUGUUUUAGUUCUCUUGUGUCAUUUCAACUUCUGGACUUCCUCCUUCCUUCCACCAUCUCACUGGGCUGCACCUGUAGCUACUUUUCUGGUUUAUUCUACUCUAAGGGCAUAAAGGAAAAAGAAUUACCUGAAAGCAUGGCCCCUUUCAGAGAAGGGAUGACUUGGUGAUGUGCCGUUGCACUCAGUGUCCUCUCCCUGUCCACCAGAGCAUGUCAGAGGCUGGCUGUGAAGAAUGGAGGAUUCAUGGCUGGUGCCUGCUGUGCUCUGAUUAUUCUGUACUUCCCAGAGCUGCAAGAAGCAGGGCAUAAUUAGAUCGGCAACGAAGCUUUUUACAGUUUGGAAUCAUGUUAGUCCCACUGAUGGUUUUAUAUAGUGAAAGGUUGAUUUUAUUCAGAAAGACAGUUCUUGAAUUCCAGUAUGCGAAUCAUAAAUUGUAAGCCCUAGCUUACGCUCACUACAAAAUAAUGAUGUGGGCUGUUUUUUCCCUUAGGUUUUAACUUGGAUGACUAAUAGGUUAAUCCUUACAUGUUCAAGCCUUCUUCUAAUCUGUGAAGGUCCAAGGCCUAAAUCUAGAAGCCUUUGACAGUGAUGGACUGUUAGAUAGGAUGGCUGCAUCUGUACCAGCCUGUGAGCACUCUUGUUCAUGCUGUUAAAUCGUUAAUUACUGGACAAUUUUUGGCUCAUGGCAACUUAAUUAGCAUCUACUCAAUGCCUGACCACAAUCUGUGGAUUAGCAUAGACCAGGAGCCAGCCCCAGUAGACAUUUGGGAUAGGACUUCCCUGUUUUGGGGAUAGAAUUUAGCUCAGUGGAAACAAGCUGUGGCUGUUCGUUGGCCCAAGGGCCUGAAAAUGAUUUGGGUUUUUUUUGUUUACUAAUGUAUGAGGCAAAUCUAAUCUCUUGGUUUCUUAUUUUUUCAUUUUAUUGCUCAUAUGUGUAACAGCAGAUGUAAUUAUUUAUACCAAAGGUCAUUUUAACUCAGUGUCAUCUCUCCAGUAGUAACUUCCUGUGAUAUUGAUAACAAGUGUAAAUGACAUGGUCCCCCAAAAAAACAGUAUAAUGGUGGUCUUCUCCAACUAAUUUCCUGAUCUUUUCAGCUUGUGUGGAUUUCCUGUAUGCACAAUAUCCUUUGUCAAGAUUUACCAUCAGCUGUUAUGUAGAGAAUCACCUCCUUUUUUGCUUCAUUGAGUUUAGCUUCUGAUUUCAGCCUUUAGAGCUUGUGUGCAAGAAGCAAUAAAAGGCUCACUGCUAUCCUUAAUCUGUCAUUUAUAAAUGUGUUGAGGAGUGCAGAUCUUAGUGCAGACUGCUGGGGUUGUCCACUGCUUAUCUCUCACCCUUGUAAUAGCUGAUCAUUUGUGCUUUUACCCUCUCUUGUCCUUUUACCAGGAGAUAUGGAUUUUUUCUUUGGGUUUCACUCAGUACUGAUACUGUGAAAAGUAAUGUACUGUUUUUAAUCUAGUCCAAGUUGUGUAGCACCCUAUGGACUUCAAUUCAGGCAAAUAGUUCAAAAUGGUCUUUUUGUGCCUGAAAUUCCAGACUGGCAGAAAUGAAUUUGAAUAUGUCAGUAGCAACAGUAUCUUACUAAUAGUUGUACCGAUUCUUCACUCACUUCCCUUCACUAGUAUAGUAUGUGAAUCUAUUAUUAAUGUUACUUGUGAGCUUUGUUAAAUUGGUAAAAUGAGCUGCACUCAACAUAAUUGGAACAUGUUUUGUUAUAUACCAACCAUUUCUGUUCCUUUCUGUAGUAACUGUGAAUGUGUAAAUGUCUUUCUUUCUUUUGUUAAUUUACUUCAGAACUAAUAACUAUUAACAAGGGAAGGAUUUUUUUAAAAUCUUUGUAUGAAAUUUGAUGUUUUGUGUCUGUUCUCUCCUGUCCACUGUUUCUUUCUUCUGCCUUAGAAAUGGGAAAGGCCUCCCAGAGUCAAAGAGCACUUUCCUGUGCACUUCUAUGGGCAAGUCAGAAAUAGAUCCCAUAUGAUUAGGUACUGAAAUUAGGAGCUCAGUUUUUUUGCUAGGAUAAUGUUAAUGUUUAGUAUGUCUUCAGGUUUCAUUUUUUGUGAGCAUUACCAGUUUUCCAGAUGCUCGAUCCAGCACUAUUUUUAAAAUCAGUUCCAGUUAACUCUGCAGUUUAACAAGGAAUAUUUCUGUCUUUAUGAGAUGUACGUGUGUGCGCUGUGUGCUUGUCAUUGACCCAUCUCCUUCACCUUUUGCUGCAGAAAGAUAAAUUAUACAGGCUAUUUAUUUUAUUUAGAAGUUAGUAUUGGAUGUGUUUUGCUAAACCUUGAGUUCUACAUGUCUGAAGAGUUCAAAGUUCAAGAUGACAGUGUAAAUCUCAAUGCAUUUUCUCAGCAGUGAUUUGAAUUUUCUAUAUUCUUUAAGUACUGUUUAUUCUCAGAGAAGAUUCCCAUCUGAUUUUGCAUUUGUAUUAAUUAAUGUUUGAGGCUGAAAACAGUUGUAGACUGCUAACAUACAAAGUAAGUAGAAAAUUAUGGCAUUUUCCCAGAACAAUUAAAGUGUUAGACAUUUAUCUUGAUCAGUGAAUCUUAAAUCAGUUUUUAAUUUCUGUAAGUAUAUUUCAGAGCACUCUGGUUACAAGGCUGUGGAUGACAAGUCUUUAUUCUAAUCUCAGCUCUGUCUCUAUUUUACUAUCGAGAACAAAUUUCUAACUUCUCCACAACCAUCUUUUGAGUUAUAAUGACAGGCCUAUCAGUUUUUCUCGUAGGAGAUAAGAAACCUUAGCCACAUGGAUUUUUUUUUUUUUGUAACAAGAAAUCAUAUGGUCAUUUGAAAAUAUUUUGUUUCCACUCAGUGAAAAUAACAUAAUUCUGAGACUUCAUGACUGUUAGAGUACAGGUUCUUCAUACAUAGGGCUACUUGAACCUUUGUGGUCAGUGUGUAAUGAACCUGCACAUCGUUACAAUCUGAUCAGGCAAUAUCCAUAAACAAGAGGAAAGCUCAGUAAGAAUAAUUUGAACAUUCAUUUUCCUAACAAUUACUUAGAAUCAAAUUACAGUUUUAGGAGAGAUGUGUUAUGGUGAAGGAGUCAAAAAUAUGAGGCUAAAUUAUCUCUCAGCAAAGCACAAGAUGAUUGUGCUAUGAUAUGUAUAUAUUCUUGUAUUUAAGUAUAUUUACUUUAUUUAAGUAUAUGUGAAUAUAUGAUUAUAUACUUACAUACUUAUAGAUACAUUGUUUUUACUUAAAAAAAUAAUAAUAAAUUUGUUGCUUUUGUCGUAACAAUAACAAGAGAUUAUCAAACCUGAUAAUUCCCUACUAAGAUCCACAAAACAUUAGAACACCAUUCAGCAUGCACUGUGAUAAUUUGCCAAAUGAGUACCAAAGUGUAUCUAUAGAUCUCAUUUUUAAAUGGCCAAAUACAUUUUGUAUUUUUACCUUGGCACUUCUAAUUGGUUAAAAGUCUCUGAAAUUCAGCAUUCUGAAAUUUCUGUUGAAAUAAAUAUUAUUUAAACUAAUUCUUACAGUACGUGAGGGUAGAGAUUACAGAGAUUUGAGAUUCCUGUGGUUUCUAAAUGCUGGUACUCUAUGCUUUAUUUUACACUUAUUGUGUCAACAACUUUAUCUGGAGAGGAAAUGGGCUAAAAUAUUUAUUUUGAAUAGAUUAAUUCUGUUACUGAUUUUAAAUAUUUUUUACAUAUAAGCUUGGAAUUGUUUCCUUUGUAGCUUCAGAAUCCACUUUGAGAUGCUGGUUGAGUAAGAUAUUUCCAUUCAUAUUGCUUGUUAAGUUAGCAAGCAUUUAAAUGUGAUUAAAAAGAGUAAUUGCUUAACUUAGUAAAUCUAUGUAAAGUCUCUAAGACCGUGUCAGAGCUAAUCAUGACAAAGUAUCUUUAUAAUUCACUGCGUUUGGAUUUUAAAUAAUCUAUUACUGUUUAUAAUCUCAUACGUAUUUAAGAAAGAAGUUAAUUUGCUAAGAGAGCAUGUUUAAAUAACAUUCUAGAUGUAACAGCAACAGAACAAAAGUGAUGAAGUAGAGAAGUAAGGCUCACACAUCAUUUUAAACUGUUUUACAAUAAAUUCUAGAGAGCUUUCUGAUCACGUUCCAAUUACAAAUGAGAUACUGAAGCAGUGCAUGGAAAAUGAGUUAAGGAAAAGGCUGAUAUUAAGUCUUGUUUUUUGUUUUUUUUUUCUCUCAUCAGUUUUAUCAUAAUAUUUGUAAAGAUUUUUUUUUCUUUCAAAUUAAUAGUCUUAAUUUUUUUUUAUAAAAUUGCGUUAAAUUUAAGCUCUGUUUACAUACAGUGGCAGUGAAAGUAUUGGUCUGCCUUCAUGCUAGAUGCUGCUAAAUGAAGUGACCUCCUUUCAGUGGAUUAGCAAUUUAUUUCACUAUUGAAGAACUAGCAUUACCUCCUGAUCUUGAAAUUCAAUUAGUAUUUUUCUUUUCUUAAUCUAGACUAUAGUUUAGCAGAAUUUACUUUCUCUUGAAACAAAUGAUCUGCAGUUUCAACUGUGUUCUCUAGUAAGAAGUCAGUAGAAUAUUUAAUGCUUUAUUUUCCAAAGUACUUCAGACUUUUUAGUUGUAAAAGUAAUAAUUUUCUGAUCUAAAGUCACAGGAAAAGGACAAUUAAGAACUAGGUCUGAGAAAUGUUAAACAUCAACUUCAUCCAAAUAUAAUAAACUUUUAAUGCAUAUUUUCUCUCAUCUUUUUUUUUUUUUUAAUUACUGCUAUGUAAAAUAUGAAUAAUGCAGAAAAUAAAAAUGAAUUUAUAGAAUUACCUUUUUACUUUAGUAAAGAAAAGCAUCCAAAUAUUGUUUUUUAUGAAGGGGAUAAUUAUUUUCAAAUUAUUUUACCACCUAAUGAACAGAUGCUUCUGCUCAUAUUUCUGCCAUGAAUUCAUGGGAGUUGAGAUAGUUGUUCCUUUAAUAAAACUUAAAGCUUUUGAGAAGUACCAUCAGCAAUCAGUUUUUUUCUUCAUUUCACUCUAUAUCAGGUCUAUAUCAGGUUCUCAAGUGCCAACUAGCAGUGUCACAGAAGCUACUUGUUUCUAAGCUGUGCUUAAUAGAAGCCCAUUUCUUGUUACAGCAUCUCCUGGAAAAGAAGGAAGCUGUGGGGAGUGCCCCUUUUUAUUUCCAGCACACAGAAUGGCAGUGGUCUGAAGAGGAAAUGAAACCUAGGAGAUGGGAGAACAUUGGAAUCAUAGAGCACAGAUGCUCCAUUGAAAAAAAAAAUGCUGUUAUUUUUGAAAUAGAGUUAACUGUACAGCCCAGCCCCCACCAGAUCCCAGUAACCUCAAAGAACUAACGGUUCAGAAACAUAAUUUCUUUUCCAAAGUGCUCUCCAAAAUUUUUCUUUCAUUUAUAUCCAUCUCAUAGGCCCUUGGCUGAUAAAGUGGUUUGAAUCUUCAAGCUUGAAUAGCCUGUGUAUAUCAAAGGAAUGGGAAAACAUAUGUACCCAUAUAAAAUUAGGGGGCAUCAUCUCUCUUUUGUGCUGAAUUGAUGUCAUCUAGCCAGCACCAGAUGGAGGAGAACCAUAAAUCCAUUCCUGGCUCACUCAAAAAAAAAUGUCUCCAGUCACAUUUUGUUUGAAAUUCCAGGUCCUUCUCUUAGUCCUACUCCCUUGGUCUUUGUCCAAGCAACAUAACGUAUGAGAGGGUCAGUGUCCUCUUUGGCUUAAGCUGAAAUCAUUUGUUUAGGCAGCUUUUCCUAACCAGCACUGAAACCUGCUACUCCGGCUUAUUUUUGCAAUUAGCAAUUUGGCAACUUCUUUUAUCUAAAGAUGCCACAGAUGCUGCAAACUCAUUUAAUCAAAAUUGAAGAUUCAUUUUCUUUGUGCUUUGAACCACUGAUGUGUCAUCUCAGUCCUUUACUGCUUGUCCUGUGAGUAUAACACCAGAUGAUAACAAACAUUUACCAAUUUCAGUUUACACUGUAUAUUCUUAUAGUUCCUGCUUUAAAAUUUGGACAGGUACCAGACAGCUAAUAUAUUUUUUGUAAUUGAAAUCUUCAUGCUCUUCAUGAUCUUCCAAAGAUACAUUUCAAUUCUGUUUUUUAAUAGUUUGUAGCAUCUUAACGAUUUAUGCUACUCAUUGUACAGGUUUUAAAGUGAUCUCCAAAAUAUUUGCUACCCUGAAUAAGAAUCAUAUAAGAAUCAUUCAGUGACAACAGACAGGAAGCACUCUCAGAUGAUGCUACAAGAAUUAUUUGGGAGAUUUGGCAGUCAAUACUCACUGUAACUAUGAGCAAACCAGUUUGUACAGGAAAAAAAAAAAAAACUCUAAAGUACUGUGGCUUUCCUUUUAACCACAUCUUUAUUUCAUAAUCAGGUCUUUAUACUGUGAACAAUUUAGAAUGUCUAUAUUGAUUAAACCGUAGGAGUCUUCACUUUAAAUUCUAUCUGGUAUUCUGCAAACUAUAAUGAACAUUACCGAAUGCAUGGCAUCUUCUGGGAAACACCUUGAGAUUAUCAAGUUUAAUUUCCCCUAGGAAGUUCUUACAGCAGUGCAAUCAAGCUAACUUUUACUCUCUGUAAUGGAGUAAGAUUUAAUCUACAAUUUUCCAGCAACCACCAUUUCCUUAUUUUUUCUUCUUCAAAAACAGCUGAAGAAUGAAGUUUUGUUUUGUUUUUAGGUUACUCUAUACUUUUUUCUGUAGUGCACCAUAAUGAAUAUCCUAUCCUUUUUUUAGUAUGCUGAAUGAGUAGAAGCAGCUGAAACCCUACGGUUGGUAAGGAAUUUAUGUAAAUAUUGCAAUUAAAUCUUGUCUGUAAUAAUAGGUGACCUUUAAUCUAGUUUAUAUUAAGUCCCCUAAUCUCUCAGAUUCUAAUUGAGUGAUGAAGAUGCAAGGCUUCAUGAAAGGAAAGCAGAUCACAAGAAAAUAAUGAUUUUUUUUGUGUAAACCAUGAUUUUCCAAUUACUCCUCUCAGCUGGGACAGAAAAAACAUCUAACUUGUGAUAUGUUCUGAUCCAAAAUUAAUCCUUUUGUAACUGUGUGUCUUUAGAUUAAAGGUUACUUUGGCUUUCUUCCAUGCAAAUUUUCAGCCCUUUUGGUAAUAUUAAUACUAGCUUUUUUUUCCCCCAAAACAUUAUUAAAACAUAUUGGUAAGUAAUGCUUUCAAUAAUGCAGAGAAAAACCCAGAUAAAUAAUAAUUAAAAUAGCAUGCAAGCUUUCUUUAUUCAACUUACGAGGUAAAUAUCCAUUUGUUAUAAUAAAUUCUUUUAAAAUAUGUGAAAACAGUUGUGGCAUAAGGAGGGAGUUACGGUUUUGACUACAUGAUGUGUGUAAAGCAAACUUGGGAUAAGAUUUGAGUGGCAAGAAAUUCCAGGCAAAUAUGGGUAGAGACAUUUGCUGCACCUUUGCAUCACAGAGAAGAAUCGCAAAAGAUUGGAUAUGCUUGCAGUGUCUGUGUAUGUGCCAUUAGGAUCAUGCAAGAAAGCUGUGAAGUGUCGCAGAGAUCUUGUUUGUACAGUGGUUUGAAAUGUAAUGAUAACAAGUGCUUUAUGCUGCACUAGGGUUACCUUUGUAUGUUAAAGGUGUAAUUUUUUCUGUUUCACAAGGAAGCUAAAUUCAGCCUCGCAGUGAAGACAAAGAGCUUGUAUUUCAUAUGGCAGAAACAGAAAUCGGCGCACAAGGGAAAGGUCACAUUUGGUGUGACAGUCUUGAAAAAGAAAAGGGUUUUGCAGAAGCCAAUCUGCGUAGGACACAGACAUAUUUGCCAAAACUAGAUAGGAGAGUACUUCGAAAUGUCAAAGAGAAGCACUGAAACUUCAGUUUGAACAGAUGAAGAUGGAUCCCAAGAAGAAUGUAAAAACAGGACUGUUCAGCUUAGACAUGAUGGCUAAAUUUGUGAUUUUCCUGUGAAAAUAGGAAAUUCCUAGGAAAAUAGGAAAUCCUUGCAGAGUCCUUGAAGCUUCAGGAAAAGCAAGAGAGUAGACAAAAUAUCAAAAGGGAGAAGAUUUUAAGUAAAUGGUAGGCCAGUUGCUGUUUAAGAGGGCUGUUAGAUGGACAGGGAGCAGAUAAAGAAUACAUUCUCCACAUCUACUUCAAAGAGACCAUUAGAAAUUUUGAUUGGUUUCACUGGAGUGAAAGGGGUGGGUAUCUGGACUGAAAGAGAGAUCAGAAGAUAGAUUGUAAAUAAAAUCUUCAAUGAGUACAGAAAUGAGACAGAUAAGAAUUGGAAAAAAUAACUGAAAACUUGAGUGUAGCAAAGUGUGGGUUUUUGUUAAAGAUGAGUAAACGACAUUUUUCCUGUGGAGCAAAUGUGAAAGAGCUACAAGAAAGUAAAGAUUUAAAGAGAGGCUACUUUUUGCAGUUUUCCAUAUUGACAUUAUACAGAGAGAAACUGAAGCAGAAAUAAAGAAGCUAUCGAGAAAACAGUCAGAAGCUGUGGGAAGGUUAAUGGGUUUACAAGCAUGGGAUUAAAAAGAAGAGUUGUUAAUAUCUGUUUAGAGAAGUGGCAGAAACUAAAAAGAACGAAUCCCUAGUUUCUGCAGUAGUGAUGAGACUACUAAAGUAGUUGUGGGAAGUCAUUGACAGCGGAGUUCAAGAUGACAACAGGAGCUGAAUGACACAGACGUUGCUCCAGAAGGUGUGGGAAGAAGGAGACUCAUCUGCAGGAGAUGGCAGUUCAAUAGGCAGAGAUUGUGCUUGUUUGCUGAGUGAUUAAACUUCUUUUUUUCCCUAAAGCACUACAGAAAUGUUCCAUCAGGAAAUCUCCCUCAUGCAGAACAUGGUGCCUCUGUGAACACAGUCCAGAAGAGUUUGCUUACUUACUUGCACUUCUUAAUUACUUUUUUUCCUAAAAAUAGUCACUUUCAUACUCUCCAAUUCUUGUAGCUGUUUGCUAAAAAUAAAAGGACCUGAUGGUGAGUACAAGUUUCAUAAAUGCAAAUACAGCUUUGCAGUACAAAUUAAAAAUGUGGCUUGAAUUAAAAUCAUUGAUAGUUUGUAGGUUGUUCAUGUUGCUUUUGUAGACCCCUAAUCACUUGAGGUAUGUCUAAGCUUUUUGGCUGAUACUUAGUGCAUUCAAAUCAGCAAAUUAAUCUCUUGGGUACAGAGCAACUCAGUGUACCUUAAGUCACAGUGCAUAAAGUUACUUUUGUUGCUAUCUACAGAUUGUCUUGACAUGCAGCAUAUACCCACAGGUUCAGAAAAAUUGCCCUUUGAUUACAUGUACAAUAAUCUGGAUCUCCCAAGGUAUUCAAGUGGUUAAUUAAAUAUCAAGUAAUUGCUAAAACUACUAAGUGACAUUUAAUUAGUAUGUUAAUUGAUAUCAAAUUUGCUCUCACUAUCUUGUUUUAUGUUAAUAAAAUCCCUAAACAUUUCUUCGAAGUAGAUUAGGAAGCAAUGUGCUUCAAAUAUACUAAUUCAAAACAGCCUUAAGCAUUACUUCUGCUCACAGAACAUACUUUCUGACUUAAAUUUUUAUCACAGAUGUUUUAUUUUGUCUAUCUUUAAACUUACUUUUUGCUAAGAGUGCAUUAUAUCUAGUAGCGUAGACCUCUCUUGGAAUGGAUUUUAGCUUUUAUAAGCUCAUAAUCCCUUAGAAUUCUAUCUGAAGUGUGAUAACUGUUAAUAGAAGUCUAGGGCUGCGUCUCUCCCCUUUGGCACCUACCGAGUAGAGAUAGCCAGGUGCUAUGGGGACUGCAUAGUCCCUCCAGUUGGCUAAUGUGAAUGAUGUAUUUCUGUGCUGACAUCUGAUCUGGGGUUUAGAAAUCUGUGCUCCACACAUAAUACAAAACCACCAUAAAUGUAUUAAGUGCCUGAUUAUUCUGCAGCAGUGAAAUUUUGCCGUAGUGGUAGCUUGCAGGGUGUUCCCCUCCUCCUCUUCAUUAUCCUACCCAGGAAACAGCCCUGCUGUAGCUUUCACACUGAGCAUUCCAAAAUUCUCUUUGCUUUCCUUUGCUGAAGAGACCAACAGUGAUGUAGAAAAGAGAUGCCUUUAGGCUUGGGUCCAGAAAAGACUGGCUGGAGUCCAAGCUGACAAUAGCCCCAAGCCUGUCCUUCCUUUCAACCACCACAGUGCUCCCUGUGGCCUCAUCAGAAACAGGUGAGCAGUCCAAAGUUGAAGCUAGUAAGGAAGAGGUUGUUUUCACAAUGGUUAAUUUGAACACACACUGCAAAAUAUUUCCAUGAAUAUUCAUAUGAAUAUUUAAAUGAAUUCCUUUCAGCUGUGCUCAUGCCUUUUGUGUGUUAGUUUUCUGUGGAGUUCCUUUUCCGUUUUAUUGGUGCCAAUGCACAGAGAGAGUUGGUUUUACAUACAAGAUCACAAAAAGCAAAGUUUAAUUUAUUCUCCCUGAGCAUUCACACCCAAUUACUUCAGAAGAGUCCAACUGGGAAGUAGAAACAAUGGUGUAUGACCACACAUGACUGAACUGCAUAGCUCAGAUUCCAGUCCUUCCCAACUUCAAAAUCUAGGAUAUCUGUAUAAACUAUAAAAACACCAUAAACACUGUGAAGGGGAAGCAGGUUGAGGAGGGACUGUCAGAGAAUUUUAAAUUAUGAAUAAAGAAAAGUGUGAUCUGUUUAUUCAUGGAUAUGUCACAGAAAAAAAGACAGAAAAUUGGUAAAAUAAAUUAUUCAUUAAAAAGUAUUCAGCUGUAGUUAUGUGUCAUCCAAAUACUGUUAUAGAAUGAAGAAUACUGCAGAAUGAUAAUGAUAGGUGGAAGUUGACAGUGAUUUUCAACUUUUUUUGUUGAUUUAUUUGAACUUCUGUGCUUUCUUAUGUGUGGUGUAUCUAAAUUUCAUAGCUUCGCACAAUUUUUUGAAGUUUUCUGUUUUUCUGAACAUAUUAUAAUAAUCCACGUUUACUAAUACAAAAAGUUUGCUAUCGAUAGCAUGUUAUUUUAAAUCUUUUAUAAUACAAAGUGAAUUUGUUGCUGCUAUUUGUAUUUUAAGUAGCCUACCACUUGAUAAAGAAAAGUCAAAAUUGACACAUUUGUUAAAAAAUAAUCUUCAGAUAAACUUUUCAUAGGUAUAAGUAUUGGUACCCGAGCUUCCUUUCUACCUUCUCCACUGGCACUCUCAACCAGUGUUAACAUGCCUAAAUGUCUGGUCAUGGUCCUUAUCACCAGCAAAGGUUCUCUAAACUCCCAAAAAUCUGCCUCCCAUCUCAUAUGAUUCAAUGCCCUGAGCCCAUCUUCAAGUCCAGUUCCAACUGGAGUCUCUGACCACCCUCUCCCUGCCUCCAUGUUUCCUGAGCACCAAAGGGAGGCAGUGCAUUGAAAUAUACCAUGCCUCUUCCCUUUCAUAUGAAGCAGUUCCAAGUCACUUUCAAAUCAUUAAGCAAAUGACUGUAUUCUGAAUGCCCCAUAGGAAUUCAGUGGAAACUACUGCCUGACACAAAAUCAAGAUGCAGCUUAUCAGCCGCUUACUGCAACACAGCAGCUCUGCUCCCACUGCGCCACUGGGAACGCCAAAACAAAUCCCACUGAUCUAUGUGAUGGGUAGUCCAUUGCCUUCAGGCAUGAAUCUUAAGCUCUUACCUCAUUAUGGCAAGAUGCACAGGUAGCAAUGUGCAGAUAGUGUCAGGACCUUCUUGCUCCCUCACUGGCCAGAUCUAUGGCUACUGUUCUUCACCCUUCAAUUAUUUUACAGUUGUGAUUUUUCCAUGCUAAUAAUUACCAAACCUUAUUGGAUCCUUUUUACCUCUACAUGCAGUCAUGCUAUCUAGUCAUUCAAAACUGAAUUAAUGCUUUAUUUUUAUGGUUUAUGUACAUCCUUAAGGAUAUCAAAAGAAAGAAGUAUGUUGGCAUGAAAACCUGGUACCAAAAGGACAUUUACAUUCCCUGACUGGCAGAGAUGCGAAAUACAUUGCAGAUCAUUCAACUAAUUAAGAAGCGGUUCAUUUUCUUUUAAGUCCAGUAAGAGGGAGCAACCUGAAUUGAUGCAUUAAGGGAAAAGAGAAGUAUGAUAUAAACACAGUUUGCACCUGGAAACCAUGCUUACUAUGCUCUGCAUUGCCCACAGUGGGAGAAUAAUGCAAGCUCACCUGGUCUCUUCCUCACCUUCUGCAGCAGGAAUGGUGCUAUCCCCCCAAACAUGGAAAAGAAAACUAUGAAAGACAUGCCGUGUUGGAGUUUUCUUCUAAAUGCUUAACUUCAGAAUUUUGCUUAUCUGCUACUGAAGUGCUAAUUCACUGGGAACUCUCCAUAGUAGUAUCAGUCUUAUGUAUUUACCUAUGAAGUUCUUCUAACAGAUGAAUUGUUUACUCAUAAACCUUCAAUUUCCAAUUCACUUAUUUAAAGUGAGAUUCUUCUUACAGAAUAAAUUCUGGAUCAUGGCUUUAAUUUAAUUUAUUCCUAAGUAACACAGAGCAGAACUUCAUUUUAUAGAGGAUGGAAAAAAAUAUUAUACUGCAUUUCCAUCUACAAAUUUUACUUUGUAUUAUUACAACAGUUUAGGAACUUAUGAUAUAUACAGUUUAAUAUUUUCUAUAUUAAAGCAAUCUCACAUAAAAUAACCAUUGUUACUGUUUAUUUUCUUACUUCUUACAGUGAUUUCUAUUCCAAAAUUAAUGAAGAGGAACUUUGGGUUUUGGUUUGUUGGUUACUUUUUGUUUGUUUGGGUUUUAAGUUGAAUUGUGUAUAUUUAAUAAAUGAGCAUCUUCUCUUGUCACAUUCUUGGUUUUUUUAAAACCACUAUUUUGGUAUACAAUCCCGAUCCCAAAAAUUUAUGUUACAUUAACAUGGAUUGUAUUUAGUGGAAAUAAAAGAUGUGAAUCC